RNAcentral lists this ribosomal RNA (253 nucleotides) under uncultured bacterium. Its description in RNAcentral is "partial 16S ribosomal RNA". It matches the Rfam family "Bacterial small subunit ribosomal RNA", at positions 524 to 776 of the family's 1533-position model. The record is from RNAcentral.
GACAGAGGGUGCAAACGUUGUUCGGAAUUACUGGGCGUAAAGCGUGUGUAGGCGGCCACGUAAGUCGGAUGUGAAAGCCCCAGGCUCAACCUGGGAAGUGCACUCGAUACUGCGUGGCUUGAGUAUCUGAGAGGUUGGUGGAAUUCUCGGUGUAGAGGUGAAAUUCGUAGAUAUCGAGAGGAACACCGGUGGCGAAGGCGGCCAACUGGACGAAUACUGACGCUGAGACGCGAAAGCGUGGGGAGCAAACAGG